GACGUAGGGGGCCAGCGUUGUCCGGAGUUACUGGGCGUAAAGGGCAUGCAGGCGGUCCGACACGUUUUGUGUGACAGCGGGUGGCUUAACUACCCGAGGAUGCGAAAGACGGUUGGACUUGAGGACUCGAGAGGGACACGGAAUUCCGGGUGGAGUGGUGAAAUGCGUAGAGAUCCGGAGGAACACCGAAGGCGAAGGCAGUGUCCUGGCGAGUGACUGACGCUGAGGUGCGAAAGCCAGGGGAGCGAACGGG
This 253-nucleotide ribosomal RNA is filed under the name uncultured bacterium. RNAcentral's name for it is "partial 16S ribosomal RNA". It matches the Rfam family "Bacterial small subunit ribosomal RNA", at positions 524 to 776 of the family's 1533-position model. The record is from RNAcentral.